AUGCAACGCCUAGACUCUCUGGUCCCUGCAUUGGCUUCCCGUCCUGUCCCUGCUUGGCUUCGUGGUAGAUGUUGCAGAUGCCUCCUUCCUGGUCACCGUGUAGCGGUUUGUCGAGAUCUUUUUAGGUGUUCUCGGUGCCUUGAGAAUGGUCAUCGAGCACGUGAGUGCCGCAAUCCCUGGCGUCCCCUCAGCUUUUUGGGAAGCCCUACCGUGUCACUGUUGCCACGCCUCCCCGGGCACCAACAAGCUCUAGCUCCUCGCAAGGUCCAGAAAGAAGCCUCGCCCCUCCCGAAGACGUUUUGUCGUGAUUCUUGGGCAUCGAUUGUUGCUGCUCCUGCUGGCUCUAUGGCCUCGACGGAUUUCCCUGUGCGGCCUGCCUUGGAGCGGCAGGCCAAGCUGUCACUCUGA
RNAcentral lists this ribosomal RNA (408 nucleotides) under Triticum aestivum (bread wheat). RNAcentral's name for it is "partial small subunit ribosomal RNA". Lineage: Eukaryota; Viridiplantae; Streptophyta; Magnoliopsida; Poales; Poaceae. The record is from RNAcentral.